UACGUAGGGUGCAAACGUUGUUCGGAAUCACUGGGCAUAAAGAGCGCGUAGGCGGUCUGACAAGUCCCCUGUGAAAGCCCCCGGCUUAACCGGGGAACUGCAUGAGAUACUGUUGGGCUAGAGUGCAGGAGGGGAGAGCGGAAUUCCUGGUGGAGCGGUGAAAUGCGUAGAUAUCAGGAGGAACGCCGGCGGCGAAAGCGACUCUCUGGCCUGUAACUGACGCUGAGGCGCGAAAGCUAGGGGAGCAAACGGG
RNAcentral lists this ribosomal RNA (253 nucleotides) under uncultured bacterium. RNAcentral's name for it is "partial 16S ribosomal RNA". It matches the Rfam family "Bacterial small subunit ribosomal RNA", at positions 524 to 776 of the family's 1533-position model. The record is from RNAcentral.